This 608-nucleotide ribosomal RNA is filed under the name uncultured bacterium. RNAcentral's name for it is "bacterial SSU rRNA". It matches the Rfam family "Bacterial small subunit ribosomal RNA", at positions 338 to 944 of the family's 1533-position model. The record is from RNAcentral.
CCUACGGGAGGCAGCAGUAAGGAAUAUUGGUCAAUGGACGAAAGUCUGAACCAGCCAUGCCGCGUGAAGGAUUAAGGCCCUCUGGGUUGUAAACUUCUUUUAUCUGGGACGAAAAAAGGGUAUUCUUACUCACUUGACGGUACCAGAGGAAUAAGCACCGGCUAACUCCGUGCCAGCAGCCGCGGUAAUACGGAGGGUGCAAGCGUUAUCCGGAUUUACUGGGUUUAAAGGGUGCGUAGGUGGGCUUGUAAGUCAGUGGUGAAAUCUCCGGGCUUAACCCCGGAAACUGCCAUUGAUACUAUAGGUCUUGAAUUAUCUGGAGGUAAGCGGAAUAUGUCAUGUAGCGGUGAAAUGCUUAGAUAUGACAUAGAACACCAAUUGCGAAGGCAGCUUACUACGGAUACAUUGACACUGAGGCACGAAAGCGUGGGGAUCAAACAGGAUUAGAUACCCUGGUAGUCCACGCCCUAAACGAUGGAUACUCGACAUCAGCGAUACACUGUUGGUGUCUGAGCGAAAGCAUUAAGUAUCCCACCUGGGAAGUACGAUCGCAAGAUUGAAACUCAAANAGAUAGAGNGNGAGAGNGCGAGAGACACGAGGGAGGAGG